Molecule: ribosomal RNA, 274 nt
Filed under: uncultured bacterium
Lineage: Bacteria
Description: partial 16S ribosomal RNA
Rfam family: Bacterial small subunit ribosomal RNA
Source: RNAcentral
AUACGGAGGGUGCAAGCGUUAUGCGGAAUCACUGGGCGCAAAGGGUGCGUAGGCGGUUUGAUAAGUCUGAUGUGAAAUCCUAUGGCUCAACCAUAGAACUGCAUUGGAAACUGUCAGACUAGAAUACUGAAGGGGCAGAUGGAAUUAGUGGUGUAGGGGUAAAAUCCGUAGAUAUCACUAGGAAUACCGAAAGCGAAAGCGAUCUGCUGGGAAGUUAUUGACGCUGAGGCUCGAAAGCGUGGGGAGCAAACGGGAUUAGAAACCCCUGUAGUCC